UUCACAACACAUCUGCAUCCUUGCCAUAGAGGACAUGAAAAACAAGGGCUUGAGAAGAAAUAUUUAGACAUUGGAGCCAGACUGGAACUGGCAUCCCUUGCCUUGACUGCUGCUGAGACAUCUGCAGAGAGCAUCUGCCUAGAGCACAUGUGCACAGGUCUGGCUGCUGCUGUUCUCAUUCUCUGGUAACCCGACGUUGACUCACAAGUGUUGGACACAAACCGUCUAUAUCUCUGUAACAAGCCCACAGCACCAGGUUUGAUGCAUUCCAAGUGCUGGGAUUAUAGGUGCAAAAACCAUCAUACCUGUUUUAUGUAAUACCAUGGAGGGAGUCCAGGACCUUGCACUGGGUUGCUCCAACUUCCCAUGUCCAACUGCAAGCAAACGAGAAAAACACCCAUGAAUGACUGGCAGGGGAAGAAACAGCAAUGUGGACGGACUUCGUUCUCAGCUGCACAGGGACCUGACAGUGGCAACUCACAUGUCAAGAGGCAUAAGAAAAUGACUACUUUCAGGAGUGGAUUCUCAUCUGCCAGAGAUGAAGACGGCAAUCAAUACAGAAAACUGUUGCUGUGAGCUGGCUGUAUGACUGGGACAACCUGGCCGCGUGGUUUCUAGAUGUUUGGAACUGUUUUCUGGAAGAGCUGUGGAAGAGUUUGGAUCAGUGGGUGAGAAAGGCCUUUGGAUGCUGUACACACAGCCUAAUGGGCUAUUCUGAUGGGAUUUUGGGAAACUAGAAUGCUGAUAAAAUGUGGAAGGUGAAGAGUGUUUGUACCCAUGAAGCUGCAGUGAGGAACAAGGACUCUAACGGGACUCUCUUGUUUUAUUUUGCCAAAUAACCAGACUGUGUUUAGCUUGUGACCUGAAAGUAUGAGUGGUAUUGAAGUAAAAAUUGAAAAUCAAUGGGCUAAGCUAUUUGGCA
Molecule: long non-coding RNA, 922 nt
Organism: Mus musculus (house mouse)
Lineage: Eukaryota; Metazoa; Chordata; Mammalia; Rodentia; Muridae
Product: predicted gene, 31887
Exons: 4
Source: RefSeq, a predicted model, not a curated record